CUUGAAAGGCCUAUCCACUAGUGCUCUGUAGUGGUCUCCACUGCUGCGGAAUUUGUUAAUGGACCAAGGGAAAUCUAGCGUGAGCAUAUGUUACUGCGCUCUGCUAAUUAAGUUGGAGUUACACUGUCGUUGAAGGCCAAGGUGAACAGAACAAGGAUUUUCUAAGGAUUUAAGAACCUCUUUUCAGGACAAGCAGCCAACGAGGCCGCCCUUGUGUCAUGCUGAAACCGCCACAGAAGAAAUGGGAGUAGAGAACACAGAGGAAACUGCCAGGACUUCAGCAUGGUUCUCUUAUUUUGGCUGGUAUGAUGAAGAGCGAUCACUGAAGACUGGAGUUCCCCUGGUUGUUUUCCCUCCCAUCGACAGGCAUUGGAAUACGUAUCGGAAGAUGGAUCUGCUGGCAGCCUUUCCAGAGGUGUGCCAUGGACAGAGAGAGAGAGCAGAAGAUCCUGUGAGCAAUGAUAGGAGAGGCCUCAACGCACAGCGUUCAGACCAGCUCUGCCUCUCAUUGUUACCUUUAACAAGGUUUCUGGUUCACCUGUGCACCAUUAAUUAUUUUUGUAAUUUUUAUUUUUAUUAUUAUUAUGAUUAAAUAAAGUUGAUGUAUGUCUGUUCAGAAACACAGUAAAGAAUACUCAUAAUAUCACGAUAAUGUCUUUAUUAAAUGCUGUUUUUUUUCAUCAUUUUAGGUUGCAAUGCAUAGAUGAUAAGAAGUUGUUGCAAUGUAUGGAUAAUAAGAAAGCUUCUGUUAAAUAAAUAGUAAUUUUUCACACUAUAGUUUUAACUGUUUGUAGUAAUAAUUUAUUCUGUAUUUCAGUAAUGUAAAUUGUGGAAUACAGCAUUAUACUUGAAAUGCCCAAUCUGGGUAUUAUAUUUCAAAACUCUGA
This is a long non-coding RNA of Esox lucius (northern pike), 887 nucleotides long. NCBI's taxonomy places the organism in Eukaryota, Metazoa, Chordata, Actinopteri, Esociformes, Esocidae. The record is from Ensembl.